RNAcentral lists this long non-coding RNA (1450 nucleotides) under Equus caballus (horse). Its description in RNAcentral is "lncRNA (ENSECAG00000055116.1)". The record is from RNAcentral. Lineage: Eukaryota; Metazoa; Chordata; Mammalia; Perissodactyla; Equidae.
CACUGGCUGGAGGGUGAGGAGGCAGCCAGCCCCAAGGGGCCAUGAGAGACCAUGCUAAGGAGCUUGGUUUUCCCAUCUGCCUUGGGGAACAGGGAAGGGUUUCAGGCAGGUGCCCGAAGCGUUUAGGUCGGCCUUUUAAAUAAGACCUUCUGUUUGGUGAUUUGAGCAGUGGAUUUGGCUAUUCCCACAACGCAGGUGAAGAUGCAGAGGGGCUUCUCUUGAGCAGCUGGAUGGAGGGGGAGAAUGGUCUGAGGAAUAUUUGAGAGGUAAAAUCAGCAAAAUUUGUUGAUUGAUGAUUUACACGGGGUAAGGGAGUGAGGGGAGCCCAUGAUGCCGGCCAGGCAGGUGGAUGUUGGGGUUACUGUCUGUAUCAGUCCAGGUGCAACCAGGAACACCAAAACCACUCUACAGCCUUUAAAACAGGAGAUUAACGCAGGGAUUGGUUACAUCCUGAUGGAAGAAACUCCCAGAGAAGCCAGCUAGGGAACAGCUGGAAGCUGUUAGCACCGCUAGGCUGAAGGGGCAAGAGACAGAGGGAGAGAGAGGAGACAUGGGGAGGCUGGAACCACAGUGCGCCUCUAUGGAUGGAGUUGAGCCACUGCCAGAAACUCCAUUCAAAACAGAGAGGGAGGGGGAGAAAGGCCCACUUCUCCUUUCUUCGGACUUCCAGUCUCGCCAGUGCCCCCCGGUGGCCGGACCCCUGGGGAAACCAGUUCACAAGGGAGUCUGCUAAGCUGAAAAGGCUAAGAAUUUGGUCUGAGCUCCAGCACACCAGCCCAAGUAGGCAACAUGGCAGAAACGGAGAGGCAGCUGGGGGAGGGUGUGGAUGCACCCAUUUCUGGGCUCGGUGAGUUUGAGAUGCUCUGGGGACCUUCAGGGAGAGAUGUCCAGGAGGCACUUGCUGGACCCACGAUUCCAAAGACCGGGGGCAGAGAUCUGCAUCUGCGCAGUGGGAUUUACCAGCAGAAGGGCAGUAGUUACAGGGAGAGCAAUGGAUGUGCUCACAGGGGCAGAGAGUGGACUCACACCGGGGAGGAACCUCAGUCUGAAACUCUGCUGAGGAUUCUCACAGACGAGCACAGGCGCAAUCCCAGCCUUCCGUGGUUUUGUUUCUGCUGGUUUGGUUUUUCAAAAAACACCAACACCCACCUAAGAGCACAAGGAACCUUUGCUCAGCCUCCCCUGGCUUCACUGGGUCUACUGCCCUCGCCGCGCCCGGCCUGUGUCUUGGUCACUAAAGGUCCUAGGGGCUGACACCAAGCCACGGAGCCACCGCCCCGACCGCAGGCGAGAAGGCGACUCGGCCCGGACACCGCCCCACGUGCGCUCCCUCCCGGCGCGCCGGACCCGGAAGUGCGCGCCUCACGUGCUCUGCGGGAAGGUGCCGGACGCCGGCCAAGGGGGCGGUCUCCGUUUCUGCGUGCCUGCGUCAUCGCGUCAUCUGGCGGGG